AAAGUCGUAACAAGGUUUCCGUAGGUGAACCUGCGGAAGGAUCAUUACAGAGUUCAUGCCCUUACGGGUAGAUCUCCCACCCUUUGAGUACUAUACUUUUGUUGCUUUGGCAGGCCGCUUCGGCUACCGGCUUCGGCUGGUGAGUGCCUGCCAGAGGACCCCAAAUUCUGAAUUAUAGUGUCGUCUGAGAACUAUAUAAUAGUUAAAACUUUCAACAACGGAUCUCUUGGUUCUG
RNAcentral lists this unclassified non-coding RNA (235 nucleotides) under Ascomycota sp. RNAcentral describes it as "partial contains small subunit ribosomal RNA, internal transcribed spacer 1, and 5.8S ribosomal RNA". The stretch from base 1 to 47 matches the Rfam family "Eukaryotic small subunit ribosomal RNA", at positions 1785 to 1831 of the family's 1831-position model. The record is from RNAcentral. Lineage: Eukaryota; Fungi; Ascomycota.